This is a long non-coding RNA of Helianthus annuus (common sunflower), 1954 nucleotides long. RefSeq lists it as uncharacterized. NCBI's taxonomy places the organism in Eukaryota, Viridiplantae, Streptophyta, Magnoliopsida, Asterales, Asteraceae. The record is from RefSeq and is a predicted model, not a curated record. The transcript is spliced from 11 exons.
CAUCGUUCUCUGCCCUGAAAAAUUUGGAUCUCCACGUGGUUCCUCCAUCGUUAAGAGACAGCUGCAACACUAAAAAGAUUCUGUGAAGAACUUUUGAUUUUAAUUGGAAACUGUUAUCGGUUAUGGAGUAUUUGAUGACGAAAUCGGUGAAUACGAGAGGUUGAUUGGAAAGCGAUGUCGGAACUAGCGUCGGAUUGUAGGUUCAGUGACGGCGAUACGACAAGGUUUUAUAGAUCUGUAUCGUUGAGUAGAUUUUGGUCGAAGCAUCGCGAUGACGUUGGCUGCAAUUAACUCCAGAAGCAGGUGAUUGAUACGUAAGCCGUUUCAGAUCGCUUCACGUAUUAGGGAUUUUCAUUCGAUUUACUAAGAUGGACAAUCCCUUAUCGCAAUGGUACAUGUUUUAGAUUUAGUGAUAAGAGUCAUAUUUUGAUGGCCAAUUCAAAAUUAAAAUCUGAGAUGAAAAACCUAUGGGUAACCUGGUGAUUUAAAGCGCUUCUCAAACUUUAGUGAGUUGAACAUGCUCUAUUCUAUAGAGACGAAUCUGAGUGAUUUUGGGUGGCGGUUAUGAUACAAGGGAUGGUACAUUGGUUUAUAUUAUUUCCAGUAGUGAUAAAGAUCUACAGUUACGAACAUGGGUGUUGUCCCUCUCUGAUCCAAAUAUUUACUAUGGAAAACUAAAAGCAUACAUACAGAUAACUGUAAUUGAGAUUACAUUCUCCAUAAUACAAGGGAUACUUACGACUGGAGAUGAGGAAUAUGGAAAGUUUUACAAACCGUAUGCUACUUCAAUUGUACAAUUUCUAAAGAUAGCAAUAUGUGCUACGAGUGGCCUAGACUACUUUCAUAAUAAGAGAAUGGAUUCGUACAACCGUCAACCACGAGUACUUGCUGAUGUACGGAGGCAAUAUACGGGGUGCUGCUGGGCCUACGCAACCAUUGGUUGCAUAGAGGCAUUCAUGCAUAUAAUGAACCGUCCACAAAAUUUUACUCCUCUAAGCAUUCAACAGUUAGUUGAUUGCUAUGACGACUAUGAAAAUCCAGAAGCAGAAGGGGGCAAACCAUACGAUGCCUUUUAGUACAUUGCCUAUAAAAAUCAAGGAAGAGUGUAUAGCGAAACUCAUUAUCUCAGUAGGAAUGCUACAACCAAUGUUUACCAUCGACGGAUUCGAUGCGAUUGAGAAAGACGAGGGUCCCUUGAAGCCACCGUACGGUUACACCCUGUGACCGCAAGGGUCGCGUCUAAAAUCUUAAUAGAGAUACAUGAUCAGGCGAAUCAUAUUAUCCGUUAUGCUUGCUGAUGUCGACAAGAAUCGUAAACUUGAUCAUAGCGUUUUGAUAGCUGGCUAUGGGACAAGAAUCGUAAACUUGAUCAUAGCGUUUUGAUAACGUUUUGGUUUUACGAGUUCGUAGUUAAUCAAGUCAAGUCUUUUUGGGUCGGAUUCGGUGAUCGGGUCUUGGUUAAAAAGUACAUGGUAGAAGAGUUAGUCACUAUGUCUUUAGGAGAAAUUAUUUAUUUUAUUGUUUUUCAUGUAACCAUGUUGCUUUGUGAAUGCUAUUUAUAGCCAUUUACAUAGUAACCAUUUUUCCAUUCGAAACAGUAGCUUUCUUCCAUAUUUGAGAAUUGAAGCAGUAACAUAUUCGCGAGUUUGCGUGCUUUGUAUCUGGCUAUUUAUAGCCUUUCAUUGUGUAGGAUCUUGUUGUUGGGCCUACUCAACCAUUGGUUAUAUAGAGGCUGGCAUUAAUGCACAUAAUGAGUCGUUCACAAAAUUUUACUCGUUUAAGCGUUCAACAAAUAGUUGAUUGCUAUGACCAGUACGAAAAUGAGUUAGCAGAAAGGGGCAGACCACACCAUGCCUUUCGGUACAUAGCCUAUACGAAUCAAGGAAGAGUUUAUAGUGAAGCUGAUUAUCCGAGUAGGGAUGGUAACUAUAUCCGUAAGGGGGAAUGUACAACU